Molecule: small nucleolar RNA, 145 nt
Filed under: Tauraco erythrolophus (red-crested turaco)
Lineage: Eukaryota; Metazoa; Chordata; Aves; Musophagiformes; Musophagidae
Description: Small nucleolar RNA ZL1
Rfam family: Small nucleolar RNA ZL1
About the family: Host gene TRRAP.
Source: Rfam by way of RNAcentral
AAAGAAGCAAAAUGAUGAGUAAUACUUGCCUGAGCCAAAGUGAGUGAGCUGUGUGUGUGUGUGCAGUUGUGUGAUGAUUGUUUGUGAGAACUGUGUGCCUUAUAAUUGGGCAGUGAUAGCCAAACUGAUAAGAUCUGAUUGCUUC